This is a long non-coding RNA of Oncorhynchus keta (chum salmon), 169 nucleotides long. RefSeq lists it as uncharacterized. The transcript has 3 exons. The record is from RefSeq and is a predicted model, not a curated record. NCBI's taxonomy places the organism in Eukaryota, Metazoa, Chordata, Actinopteri, Salmoniformes, Salmonidae.
GGUUAGGGAUGGUGUUAGGUACGGGGUUAGGGAUGGUGUUAGGUAGGGGGGAUAGGUACGGGGAUAGGGAUGGUGUUAGGUACGGGGUUAGGGAUGGUGUUAGGUACGGGGUUAGGGAUGGUGUUAGGUAGGGGGGAUAGGUACGGGGUUAGGGAUGGUGUUAGGUACG